Molecule: ribosomal RNA, 388 nt
Filed under: uncultured bacterium
Lineage: Bacteria
Description: bacterial SSU rRNA
Rfam family: Bacterial small subunit ribosomal RNA
Source: RNAcentral
GACGAACGCUGGCGGCGUGCUUAACACAUGCAAGUCGAGCGGUAAGGCCCUUUCGGGGGUACACGAGCGGCGAACGGGUGAGUAACACGUGGGUGACCUGCCCUCAGCUCUGGGAUAAGCCUGGGAAACCGGGUCUAAUACCGGAUAUGACUCCAUGACGCAUGUUGUGGGGUGGAAAGCCUUGUGCGGCUGAGGAUGGGCCCGCGGCCUAUCAGCUUGUUGGUGGGGUGAUGGCCUACCAAGGCGACGACGGGUAGCCGGCCUGAGAGGGCGACCGGCCACACUGGGACUGAGACACGGCCCAGACUCCGUACGGGAGGCAGCAGUGGGGAAUCUUGCGCAAUGGGCGAAAGCCUGACGCAGCGACGCCGCGUGAGGAUGACGGCCU